GAGUUUAUCCUGGCUCAGAAUCAACGGCUGCGGCGUCCUAACACAUGCAAGUCGAACGAGAAAGGGAGCAAUCCCUGAGUAAAGUGCGACCGGGUGAGUAACACGUACUUAACCUACCCUUGAGUGGGGAAUAACCCCGGGAAACCGGGGCUAAUACCGCAUAACAUCCUUGGGGUGCAGGUCCCGAGGAUCAAAGGAGCAAUUCGCUUAAGGAGGGGGUCGCGGCUGAUUAGCUAGUUGGCGGGGUAGCGGCCCACCAAGGCUGAGAUCGGUAGCCGGCCUGAGAGGGCGCACGGCCACACUGGAACUGAAACACGGUCCAGACUCCUACGGGAGGCAGCAGUGGGGAAUUUUGCGCAAUGGGGGGAACCCUGACGCAGCAACGCCGCGUGGAGGAUGAAGUCCCUUGGGACGUAAACUCCUUUCGACCGGGAAGAUAAUGACGUACCG
This 450-nucleotide ribosomal RNA is filed under the name uncultured bacterium. RNAcentral describes it as "bacterial SSU rRNA". It matches the Rfam family "Bacterial small subunit ribosomal RNA", at positions 9 to 461 of the family's 1533-position model. The record is from RNAcentral.